Long non-coding RNA from Oreochromis niloticus (Nile tilapia), 964 nucleotides. RefSeq lists it as uncharacterized. Lineage: Eukaryota; Metazoa; Chordata; Actinopteri; Cichliformes; Cichlidae. The transcript has 3 exons. The record is from RefSeq and is a predicted model, not a curated record.
CACAGUUGCAUAAUAUUUUAAUAAUAUACAAUUAUUUUUUGUAAUUCAUAUUUUUUCUGUUAAUUAAAAAUUUACUUUGUGAAAUUUGUAUUUGAGAAUGAAGAAUGUGACAAUAUAUUGUCCAGUGCAGUGUUAUGAAAUGUAUAUUUGUUUUAUGCUUACAGAUAUGUUUUUCUUGACAGAGGCUCUGCAGAGGUUAGACAAAGCAGAGAAAAUAUGUGCUUUACAUUUUACUGUGAUUUACUGGGAUAUUUGUUGCCUGAUGUUUAGCAGGAAUGGAGAAAUGGAAUCAAAGGGAGAUGUUUUUGAUGUUUUUGUAAUGAUGUAGGUAAAUCUCCAGUUUCUGAGUGAGGGAGAGAGGAGUCAUCAUCCAGGUAAAGUGACGUGGAUCAGUGGAUACACUUGUCUCCCCUUUAGAGGAGAUACUCUUAGAGAGAGACGAUCCGAGUCAUCAUAAAAUAUGGGAAGGAUAUCACUAUUGGACUGUCUAACCUGCAGGAGCAGCACUGAAUGAUCACCACACAUGAGCAUGUUCCUGCAACAUUCAGCAUCUGAUCUGCCAUCUGUGUGCUUCUGCUUUUGUGUCAAAUGUCAAACAGCUGGAGAGGAAACUACACCAGUGUACUGGGAUGCUUCAUCAACACGUGCCAGACGCUGUUCCUCAUUUGUUACUAACAAAGUUCACCAAACUCACACAGUUUACAUUCUGUAUGUUUCCAUCUUUACCAGCCACACUUUACCCGCAAUUAAGCAAAUAAUCCUUAGAAAUCCUCGUUUUUCUCUUUUGUAAUUGAUGAUAAUUCAGUGAAUAUACUGCGCUGCUUCCUUUUAUUGCGUCUCACAUUGUUUUAAGUUUUUCAGUGUCCAGUUAUUUUUUUACUGCUGUUUGAAUUCUCUGCAUGUUCUCUGCAUGUUUGACCCUGUAGACUGUUUAAUGGACUGCUUGUCUUGUAACUGCUGCCUG